This 253-nucleotide ribosomal RNA is filed under the name uncultured bacterium. RNAcentral describes it as "partial 16S ribosomal RNA". It matches the Rfam family "Bacterial small subunit ribosomal RNA", at positions 524 to 776 of the family's 1533-position model. The record is from RNAcentral.
UACGGAGGGCGCAAGCGUUGUUCGGAAUCACUGGGCGUAAAGCGCGUGUAGGCGGCUCUGCAAGUCGGGUGUGAAAUCCCGAGGCUCAACCUCGGAACUGCACUCGAUACUGCUUGGCUCGAGUCCCGGAGAGGGUGGCGGAAUUCCCGGUGUAGGGGUGAAAUCCGUAGAUAUCGGGAGGAACACCAGUGGCGAAGGCGGCCACCUGGACGGUGACUGACGCUGAGAAGCGAAAGCGUGGGGAGCAAACAGG